Molecule: ribosomal RNA, 253 nt
Filed under: uncultured bacterium
Lineage: Bacteria
Description: partial 16S ribosomal RNA
Rfam family: Bacterial small subunit ribosomal RNA
Source: RNAcentral
UACGGAGGGUGCAAGCGUUAAUCGGAAUUACUGGGCGUAAAGCGCGCGUAGGCGGCUCGGUCAGUCGGGUGUGAAAUCCCUGGGCUCAACCUGGGAACUGCAUUCGAUACUGCCGAGCUAGAGUGUGGGAGAGGGUAGUGGAAUUCCCGGUGUAGCGGUGAAAUGCGUAGAUAUCGGGAGGAGCAUCAGUGGCGAAGGCGACUGCCUGGCCCAACACUGACGCUGAGGUGCGAAAGCGUGGGUAGCAAACAGG